This 401-nucleotide RNase P RNA is filed under the name Bacteroidota bacterium. Its description in RNAcentral is "RNase P RNA component class A". It matches the Rfam family "Bacterial RNase P class A". From Rfam's summary of the family: Ribonuclease P (RNase P) is a ubiquitous endoribonuclease, found in archaea, bacteria and eukarya as well as chloroplasts and mitochondria. Lineage: Bacteria; Pseudomonadati; Bacteroidota. The record is from RNAcentral. RNAcentral also lists the same sequence under 2 other names.
CCUGCAAGCCGCUUUAUCGCUCCGAUUGAUUUCGGAGAGGAAAGUCCGGGCAACGCAGAGCACCGUACUUCCUAACAGGAAGAGUCUCACGAAAGUGAGAUAUAGAUAGUGCCACAGAAAACAAACUACCCAUUGCGACUCGUUCGCGGAGGGAAAAGGUGAAAAGGUGGGGUAAGAGCCCACCGGGCAAGUGGUGACACUUGUUGCAUGGCAAACCUUACGGGUUGAAAGGCCAAAUAGGUCCUGACGCAAGAUUGCUCGUCUUCACCUGCAGCAAUGCAGGUGGUCAGGAUUGGGUAGGCUGCUUGAUGCUGAUGGCAACAUCAGCACCAGAUAAAUGAUAGAGCUUGCUGAUGGCAACAUCGGCAUGACAGAACCCGGCUUACAGGCUUGCACUUUUA